UCAUAUACAUGGUAUCAUGUUUGUGAUACCAUGAUCAUAAAGGUGAUUUUCCCUGGGGCGAGGCUUAUCCAUUGCACUCCAGAUGUGCUGACCCCUGCAAUUUCCCCAAAUGUGGGAAACUUGAUUGCAUAAUUUGUGGUAGUGGGGGGUUGCAUUUGCUCUGUCCCCUG
RNAcentral lists this small nuclear RNA (170 nucleotides) under Castor canadensis (American beaver). RNAcentral's name for it is "U1 spliceosomal RNA (ENSCCNG00000003762.1)". It matches the Rfam family "U1 spliceosomal RNA". Rfam says of the family: U1 is a small nuclear RNA (snRNA) component of the spliceosome (involved in pre-mRNA splicing). Its 5' end forms complementary base pairs with the 5' splice junction, thus defining the 5' donor site of an intron. The record is from Rfam by way of RNAcentral. Lineage: Eukaryota; Metazoa; Chordata; Mammalia; Rodentia; Castoridae.